Non-coding RNA from Terramyces sp. JEL0728, 108 nucleotides. The record is from the annotation of a GenBank genome assembly. Lineage: Eukaryota; Fungi; Chytridiomycota; Chytridiomycetes; Rhizophydiales; Terramycetaceae.
GGCUCUGUAGCUCAAAUGGUAGAGCAACGCUUACUAUCACGUAAUGGAACUACAUUCAAUACUGAUGUUACUUUGUGGAGGAUGGUAGUUCAAAUCUAUCCAGAGACA